CCUACGGGUGGCAGCAGUGAGGAAUAUUGGUCAAUGGGAGAGAUCCCGAACCAGCCAAGCCGCGUGAGGGAAGACGGCCCUAUGGGUUGUAAACCUCUUUUGUCGGAGAACAAAACCCGGGACGAGUCCCGGACUGCGUGUAUCCGACGAAAAAGCAUCGGCUAACUCCGUGCCAGCAGCCGCGGUAAUCCGGAGGUUGCGAGCGUUAUCCGGUUUUAUUGGGUUUAAAGGGUGCGUAGGGGGUGUGUGAAGUCAGAGGUAAAAUUGCGGGGCUCAACCGCGUCGAGACGUUGAAACUGGCAGGCUGGAGUUGGCGAGAAGUACGCGGAAUGCGCGGUGUAGCGGUGAAAUGCAUAGAUAUCGCGCAGAACUCCGGUUGCGAAGGCAGCGUACCGGCGUCAGACUGACGCUGAGGCACGAAAGCGUGGGGAUCGAACAGGAUUAGAUACCCGAGUAGUC
Molecule: ribosomal RNA, 459 nt
Filed under: uncultured bacterium
Lineage: Bacteria
Description: partial 16S ribosomal RNA
Rfam family: Bacterial small subunit ribosomal RNA
Source: RNAcentral